This 69-nucleotide transfer RNA is filed under the name Marmota marmota marmota (Alpine marmot). It matches the Rfam family "tRNA". From Rfam's summary of the family: Transfer RNA (tRNA) molecules are approximately 80 nucleotides in length. Their secondary structure includes four short double-helical elements and three loops (D, anti-codon, and T loops). Further hydrogen bonds mediate the characteristic L-shaped molecular structure. tRNAs have two regions of fundamental functional importance: the anti-codon, which is responsible for specific mRNA codon recognition, and the 3' end, to which the tRNAs corresponding amino acid is attached (by aminoacyl-tRNA synthetases). tRNAs cope with the degeneracy of the genetic code in two manners: having more than one tRNA (with a specific anti-codon) for a particular amino acid; and 'wobble' base-pairing, i.e. permitting non-standard base-pairing at the 3rd anti-codon position. Lineage: Eukaryota; Metazoa; Chordata; Mammalia; Rodentia; Sciuridae. RNAcentral also lists the same sequence under 3 other names. The record is from Rfam by way of RNAcentral.
GGGGUUGUGGCUCAGUGGUAGUGUGCUUGUCUAGCAUGCAUGAGGCACUGAGUUCGAUUCUCAGCACCA